This is a long non-coding RNA of Peromyscus californicus insignis, 1035 nucleotides long. RefSeq lists it as uncharacterized. NCBI's taxonomy places the organism in Eukaryota, Metazoa, Chordata, Mammalia, Rodentia, Cricetidae. The record is from RefSeq and is a predicted model, not a curated record. The transcript has 4 exons.
GAGCGAAAUCACACACUCUGAAUUUGAAUAUGAAGGCUAAUAAAUGAGACAUGAAAUCAAAACUCCUCGUAUAUCAAAUGCGAACUGCACAGCAGACAGGACUUUAAAUAGAUCUGUGGAGACACGCUUCAAAACGGGCAAUCUGGUUACGAAAGCUCAAGAGCGCCAGUGACUUUGGGGAGCACACAACGGGGCGGGGCCGGCGCAUGGCGGAUGGACCCUGCUCCCCCUGGGAUGGUUGGGGAUACGUGGCCUGUCUUCUUCCUCCGUGUUCAGACCUAUGGCAGGAUCUUUGCUUCUGGCUCCCACUUGACCCAUUUAGAGGCCUCUGACUGCCUUCCCCAGGAUUUGUCAAACGAUUUACUUACUGUGUGAGCAUUUGCUUGCACAAAUGAAUGCACACCAUGUGUUUGCCCGAUGCCCAGGAAGGUCAGAAGAGGAUGUCAGGUAAACAUGGAACAGUUGCAUGCCGUCAUGUGGCCACAUCCUCUGGAAGAAUGGCGAGCACUGCUUGUCUGCCACAAAAGAGUCCUGCCAGGGCUUGAUCAGGACCGGUUUCAUAUCUGCAGAUGAGUUUCCAAAGGGGUGACCAGCUGAGAUUGCCUUCUGAUCCACACACAGCCCAGAUUGGAUUGAACAUACAGCAGUCUCCUUGCUUUGGCGUCUCCCAUGCUGACAGUACAGACAUGUGCCUCCACAUCCUGCCCAUUCCCAGUGUUUUAAGGACGUCUUCCAGAGUCUACAGCAAGAUGGUUGCAGGCUUACAGAUUGGCUUUGUUUGGUAAAAAAAACAAAACAAAACAAAAACUUCCUGGUUUGCUGAGGUUCUCUAUCAAGGUUUGGUUAUUUGGUCAAGGGCUUCCUCAGCCUCUCCUAGGACAGUCAUUCUUGCCAGCCAGUUUUUGUGCGGAGCAGAGGAAGCACUGAGUGAGAGAUGCAUAGGCAGACAUGCACACAGAAUAAUAAAACAUUGUUUUAAAAAGAGAAGCUACCCAAGAAGCUUCCCUUCCCUCCCCUUCCCUCCCCUCCCCUCCC